GGAGAGGUGGCUGAGUGGCUGAAAGCGGCACCCUGCUAAGGUGUUAUACUCGUGAGGGUAUCGGGGGUUCGAAUCCCUUCCUCUCCGC
Molecule: transfer RNA, 88 nt
Filed under: Bacteroidota bacterium
Lineage: Bacteria; Pseudomonadati; Bacteroidota
Description: tRNA-Ser
Rfam family: tRNA
About the family: Transfer RNA (tRNA) molecules are approximately 80 nucleotides in length. Their secondary structure includes four short double-helical elements and three loops (D, anti-codon, and T loops).
Source: RNAcentral